CAGGCGUCAGGGAAAAACGCGGGAGUGUCUGGAGAAACGGGGGAGUGGCUGGCCGAACGCAGGGCGUGUUUGUGACGUCAAACCAGGAACUAAACGGACCGAGCUGAUCGCAAUCUGUGAUGAGAUAUGCUGGAGCCCGGCCGCAAACAGUCACCUGUGGAAACAGCUCCCCAUCUGCGAUGAUAACCGGCGUCACACGCUGCAUUGACCAAUCCCGUGACAGGAUUUCAGCUGUCAGAUCAGGAAUUGAGGCAGUCCCACCAAAGUUGAGACCGUUUGGAGUUAUGGCUUCCUGUCUUUACAUUGUGUUGUAACUUUGGUUACCAAAGCCCACAGCUGGACAGAAGUGGCGUGAGUCCAUCCAUGGAAUUUUGUCCCUUUAGAGAUCUUUUCAAAAAGUAUAUGACUCCAGGCAGCAGCAGAGAGAACGAGAGUGGAUAAAAUGUAUUU
This is a long non-coding RNA of Pseudophryne corroboree (corroboree frog), 450 nucleotides long. RefSeq lists it as uncharacterized. NCBI's taxonomy places the organism in Eukaryota, Metazoa, Chordata, Amphibia, Anura, Myobatrachidae. The transcript is spliced from 4 exons. The record is from RefSeq and is a predicted model, not a curated record.